Molecule: unclassified non-coding RNA, 299 nt
Organism: Cebus imitator (Panamanian white-faced capuchin)
Lineage: Eukaryota; Metazoa; Chordata; Mammalia; Primates; Cebidae
Rfam family: Metazoan signal recognition particle RNA
About the family: The signal recognition particle (SRP) is a universally conserved ribonucleoprotein. It is involved in the co-translational targeting of proteins to membranes.
Source: Ensembl
GCCGGGCGUGGUGGCGCGUGCCUGUAGUCCCAGCUACACGGGAGGCUGAGGUGGGAGGAUCGCUUGAAUCCAGGAGUUCUGGGCUGUAGUGCGCUAUGCCGAUCAGGUGUCCGCACUAAGUUUGGCAUCAAUAUGGUGGCCUCCUGGGAGCAGGGGACCACCAGUUUGCCUAAGGAGGGGUGAACCGGCCCAGGUCAGAAAUGGAGCAGGUCAAAACUCCCGUGCUGAUCAGUAGCGGGAUCGCGCCUGUGAAUAGCCACUGCACUCCAGCCUGGGCAACGGAGCGAGACCCCGUCUCU